RNAcentral lists this ribosomal RNA (311 nucleotides) under uncultured bacterium. Its description in RNAcentral is "bacterial SSU rRNA". It matches the Rfam family "Bacterial small subunit ribosomal RNA", at positions 28 to 334 of the family's 1533-position model. The record is from RNAcentral.
GACGAACGCUGGCGGCGCGCCUAACACAUGCAAGUCGAACGAGCGAGAGAGAGCUUGCUUUCUCGAGCGAGUGGCGAACGGGUGAGUAACGCGUGAGGAACCUGCCUCAAAGAGGGGGACAACAGUUGGAAACGACUGCUAAUACCGCAUAAGCCCACAGGUCUGCAUCGACCAGAGGGAAAAGGAGCAAUCCGCUUUGAGAUGGCCUCGCGUCCGAUUAGCUAGUUGGUGAGGUAACGGCCCACCAAGGCGACGAUCGGUAGCCGGACUGAGAGGUUGAACGGCCACAUUGGGACUGAGACACGGCCCAG